CCUACGGGAGGCAGCAGUGGGGAAUCUUGCACAAUGGAGGAAACUCUGAUGCAGCGAUGCCGCGUGAGUGAAGAAGGCCUUUGGGUUGUAAAGCUCUUUUGUAGGGGAAGAUAAUGACUGUACCCUAAGAAUAAGGUCCGGCUAACUUCGUGCCAGCAGCCGCGGUAAUACGAAGGGACCUAGCGUAGUUCGGAAUUACUGGGCGUAAAGCGCGCGUAGGCCGUUGAGUUAGUUAAUUGUGAAAUCCCAAAGCUUAACUUUGGAACUGCAAUUAAAACUGCUCGACUAGAGUUUGAUAGAGGAAAGCGGAAUACAUAGUGUAGAGGUGAAAUUCGUAGAUAUUAUGUAGAACACCAGUUGCGAAGGCGGCUUUCUGGAUCAACACUGACGCUGAGGCGCGAAAGUAUGGGUAGCAAAGAGGAUUAGAUACCCUCGUAGUCCAUACCAUAAACGAUGAUUGCUAGAUGUUGGAAAUUUAUUUUCAGUAUCGCAGCUAACGCAUUAAGCAAUCCGCCUGGGGAGUACGACCGCAAGGUUAAAAACUCAAAAGGAAAUUGACGG
RNAcentral lists this ribosomal RNA (561 nucleotides) under uncultured bacterium. RNAcentral's name for it is "bacterial SSU rRNA". It matches the Rfam family "Bacterial small subunit ribosomal RNA", at positions 338 to 916 of the family's 1533-position model. The record is from RNAcentral.